AGUAUUAUAACCUAUGAGGUUAAACUGAGGUGUUAUUAUUGCUAGUUGAAAACUUUUCCCCCCCAAC
RNAcentral lists this small nuclear RNA (67 nucleotides) under Sphenodon punctatus (tuatara). RNAcentral's name for it is "U4 spliceosomal RNA (ENSSPUG00000003978.1)". It matches the Rfam family "U4 spliceosomal RNA", at positions 17 to 83 of the family's 138-position model. From Rfam's summary of the family: U4 small nuclear RNA (U4 snRNA) is a component of the major U2-dependent spliceosome. The structure of U4 snRNA from yeast and human has been reported. U4 snRNA presents a k-turn RNA motif in the 5p-SL related to recognition of Snu13 protein. Lineage: Eukaryota; Metazoa; Chordata; Lepidosauria; Sphenodontia; Sphenodontidae. The record is from RNAcentral.